AGCGUACACGGUGGAUGCCCUGGCAGUCAGAGGCGAUGAAGGACGUGCUAAUCUGCGAUAAGCGUCGGUAAGGUGAUAUGAACCGUUAUAACCGGCGAUUUCCGAAUGGGGAAACCCAGUGUGUUUCGACACACUAUCAUUAACUGAAUCCAUAGGUUAAUGAGGCGAACCGGGGGAACUGAAACAUCUAAGUACCCCGAGGAAAAGAAAUCAACCGAGAUUCCCCCAGUAGCGGCGAGCGAACGGGGAGCAGCCCAGAGCCUGAAUCAGUGUGUGUGUUAGUGGAAGCGUCUGGAAAGGCGCGCGAUACAGGGUGACAGCCCCGUACACAAAAAUGCACAUGCUGUGAGCUCGAUGAGUAGGGCGGGACACGUGGUAUCCUGUCUGAAUAUGGGGGGACCAUCCUCCAAGGCUAAAUACUCCUGACUGACCGAUAGUGAACCAGUACCGUGAGGGAAAGGCGAAAAGAACCCCGGCGAGGGGAGUGAAAAAGAACCUGAAACCGUGUACGUACAAGCAGUGGGAGCACGCUUCGGCGUGUGACUGCGUACCUUUUGUAUAAUGGGUCAGCGACUUAUAUUCUGUAGCAAGGUUAACCGAAUAGGGGAGCCGAAGGGAAACCGAGUCUUAACUGGGCGUUAAGUUGCAGGGUAUAGACCCGAAACCCGGUGAUCUAGCCAUGGGCAGGUUGAAGGUUGGGUAACACUAACUGGAGGACCGAACCGACUAAUGUUGAAAAAUUAGCGGAUGACUUGUGGCUGGGGGUGAAAGGCCAAUCAAACCGGGAGAUAGCUGGUUCUCCCCGAAAGCUAUUUAGGUAGCGCCUCGUGAAUUCAUCUCCGGGGGUAGAGCACUGUUUCGGCAAGGGGGUCAUCCCGACUUACCAACCCGAUGCAAACUGCGAAUACCGGAGAAUGUUAUCACGGGAGACACACGGCGGGUGCUAACGUCCGUCGUGAAGAGGGAAACAACCCAGACCGCCAGCUAAGGUCCCAAAGUCAUGGUUAAGUGGGAAACGAUGUGGGAAGGCCCAGACAGCCAGGAUGUUGGCUUAGAAGCAGCCAUCAUUUAAAGAAAGCGUAAUAGCUCACUGGUCGAGUCGGCCUGCGCGGAAGAUGUAACGGGGCUAAACCAUGCACCGAAGCUGCGGCAGCGACACUAUGUGUUGUUGGGUAGGGGAGCGUUCUGUAAGCCUGUGAAGGUGUGCUGUGAGGCAUGCUGGAGGUAUCAGAAGUGCGAAUGCUGACAUAAGUAACGAUAAAGCGGGUGAAAAGCCCGCUCGCCGGAAGACCAAGGGUUCCUGUCCAACGUUAAUCGGGGCAGGGUGAGUCGACCCCUAAGGCGAGGCCGAAAGGCGUAGUCGAUGGGAAACAGGUUAAUAUUCCUGUACUUGGUGUUACUGCGAAGGGGGGACGGAGAAGGCUAUGUUGGCCGGGCGACGGUUGUCCCGGUUUAAGCGUGUAGGCUGGUUUUCCAGGCAAAUCCGGAAAAUCAAGGCUGAGGCGUGAUGACGAGGCACUACGGUGCUGAAGCAACAAAUGCCCUGCUUCCAGGAAAAGCCUCUAAGCAUCAGGUAACAUCAAAUCGUACCCCAAACCGACACAGGUGGUCAGGUAGAGAAUACCAAGGCGCUUGAGAGAACUCGGGUGAAGGAACUAGGCAAAAUGGUGCCGUAACUUCGGGAGAAGGCACGCUGAUAUGUAGGUGAAGUCCCUUGCGGAUGGAGCUGAAAUCAGUCGAAGAUACCAGCUGGCUGCAACUGUUUAUUAAAAACACAGCACUGUGCAAACACGAAAGUGGACGUAUACGGUGUGACGCCUGCCCGGUGCCGGAAGGUUAAUUGAUGGGGUUAGCGCAAGCGAAGCUCUUGAUCGAAGCCCCGGUAAACGGCGGCCGUAACUAUAACGGUCCUAAGGUAGCGAAAUUCCUUGUCGGGUAAGUUCCGACCUGCACGAAUGGCGUAAUGAUGGCCAGGCUGUCUCCACCCGAGACUCAGUGAAAUUGAACUCGCUGUGAAGAUGCAGUGUACCCGCGGCAAGACGGAAAGACCCCGUGAACCUUUACUAUAGCUUGACACUGAACAUUGAGCCUUGAUGUGUAGGAUAGGUGGGAGGCUUUGAAGUGUGGACGCCAGUCUGCAUGGAGCCGACCUUGAAAUACCACCCUUUAAUGUUUGAUGUUCUAACGUUGACCCGUAAUCCGGGUUGCGGACAGUGUCUGGUGGGUAGUUUGACUGGGGCGGUCUCCUCCUAAAGAGUAACGGAGGAGCACGAAGGUUGGCUAAUCCUGGUCGGACAUCAGGAGGUUAGUGCAAUGGCAUAAGCCAGCUUGACUGCGAGCGUGACGGCGCGAGCAGGUGCGAAAGCAGGUCAUAGUGAUCCGGUGGUUCUGAAUGGAAGGGCCAUCGCUCAACGGAUAAAAGGUACUCCGGGGAUAACAGGCUGAUACCGCCCAAGAGUUCAUAUCGACGGCGGUGUUUGGCACCUCGAUGUCGGCUCAUCACAUCCUGGGGCUGAAGUAGGUCCCAAGGGUAUGGCUGUUCGCCAUUUAAAGUGGUACGCGAGCUGGGUUUAGAACGUCGUGAGACAGUUCGGUCCCUAUCUGCCGUGGGCGCUGGAGAACUGAGGGGGGCUGCUCCUAGUACGAGAGGACCGGAGUGGACGCAUCACUGGUGUUCGGGUUGUCAUGCCAAUGGCACUGCCCGGUAGCUAAAUGCGGAAGAGAUAAGUGCUGAAAGCAUCUAAGCACGAAACUUGCCCCGAGAUGAGUUCU
This 2772-nucleotide ribosomal RNA is filed under the name Escherichia coli. RNAcentral's name for it is "bacterial LSU rRNA". It matches the Rfam family "Bacterial large subunit ribosomal RNA". The record is from RNAcentral. Lineage: Bacteria; Pseudomonadati; Pseudomonadota; Gammaproteobacteria; Enterobacterales; Enterobacteriaceae.